This is a small nuclear RNA of Manis javanica (Malayan pangolin), 107 nucleotides long. The record is from RefSeq and is a predicted model, not a curated record. NCBI's taxonomy places the organism in Eukaryota, Metazoa, Chordata, Mammalia, Pholidota, Manidae.
GUGCUCGCUUUGGCAGCACAUAUACUAAAAUUGGAAUGAUAUAGAGAAGAUUAGCAUGGCCCCUGUGCAAGGAUGACAUGCAAAUGCAUGAAGCAUUCCAUAUUUUU